Long non-coding RNA from Sphaeramia orbicularis (orbiculate cardinalfish), 355 nucleotides. RefSeq lists it as uncharacterized. The record is from RefSeq and is a predicted model, not a curated record. Lineage: Eukaryota; Metazoa; Chordata; Actinopteri; Kurtiformes; Apogonidae. The transcript is spliced from 3 exons.
UUUGCAUUUUUUUUCAAUGAAAAUCAGGUGUUUUUCUAUAUUUAAUUUGCUGAUAAUGUACUUUAAUCAUAAUGCUGAGAUUACAUUUGAGGUUUAUCAUACCACAAACAGUGAAAACUUGACCAAAAGUAACUUUCUCAAUAAAAUCUAUUAUUAACUAAACAGACACCGAGCAUCUCCAUCCACUGUCAUUGUUCAAACUCCAUGGGUUUUACUGGUGAAUCAAUGUUACAGAAGAUGAUGGUGUUUCCAUGUUCACUACAGAAACUAUGGAUGCAUCCAAAAACGACAUUUGACACUGCUGAAAAGCUAACAAACUGCAUUUUACUUUAAUUAUUUCCAUCUUUUGAUAGGA